Molecule: non-coding RNA, 75 nt
Organism: Podarcis lilfordi (Lilford's wall lizard)
Lineage: Eukaryota; Metazoa; Chordata; Lepidosauria; Squamata; Lacertidae
Source: the annotation of a GenBank genome assembly
GAAAGGGCUGUAGCUCAGAAGUAGAGCAUCUGCUUUGCAUGCAGAAGGUUUCAGGUUCAAUCCUCAGCAUCUUCA